GGUAAGUGAGUUACACCUAUGAUACAGGGUGAAUGCAAUCUACUACAGUACCCAACAGGAUUAAAGACAGGCAGUACUCUGAUCUCCGAGGGUCAGGACUGUGAGAAACCAGUGUGUGGGUGAUGGCUCACCCUCUCUAGAGCUCUGGUAGCUGUCACGAUUAAGAGGAAGAGAAACUCACUGUUGAGUACCAGCAGACAAGCACCUGCCUACAAAUGAGGGAACGAGAGAAGGUGAAAGAGGAAAGUAAGGCAGGAGUUCAACAGCUGUGGAUUAUAUAUAUAGGUAAGGAAGAGGACAUUAAAACAUACAAGAAGAUAAGCAGUUAUAUUAGCAUAUGCAUGUCAACAAGCACAUAUGAGACAAGCAUAUCUCAUUUGUCACUUGUAAGCCCCACUUACAUAUGAUACACAUUGUCAUGGCACACUGUUUCCCUAUUGGAUGUCCUGUAUGGCUGUCAGACUAGAGGGAGUGGGCUUAACUGUUCACACAGUUGGUGCUAGUUUGAAAGGGGGCGACUGGAAUGAUUCGAGUUGUUUUUCUUAGUGCUGUGACUGAGAAGGACGUCAACUUUCCAUUUCAAAUAAAGAAAUAAAAAUAUAUUGAAAUAAUUGCUUGAUGUUAGAUUAACGUAGUUGUAAUUUGAAGGACAUUUCUACGUUUGAUUUCUAUUGCUGUUUUCUGAUAGAUUGGUAGAUGGAGCAGUGAUUUAGUUGUGUGGCUGAGGUAGGUUUAGAAUUGUUAUCGCAGAUUUUGGUAAAGAUGCUGGUCUUGGACAAUAGCAGUGUAGUAGGUAGGGCAGUCUGUUUGUGGUUUCAACUUGUGUAGCAUUAAAGGUACAAUGGCAACUGAUUUAGUUGAUGUUCCAGUGCCGGUUAAUGGGCUGACUCAGUUUAUUGCUAUGGCAGAGUAAGAGAAGCUUUGCUAGAAAAAGACAUGACCAAGCCAGAAAUAGCAGCCCUUUUGAUUAAUGUACUACAGUUGGAGCGUGUUCAGAACAAAAUAGCGAAAGGGAUUUUGAGCUCCAACAAAAGGAGAAGGAAAAGGACAGGGCCCAUCUGGAGAUGGAGAUGUUGAGAAAGCUGCUGUAAGUGGAUGCAAGUCUGAACAGAGAUAUUAACCGAGCACAACGUUGCAUGCCAUAUUUUCAUGAAAACAUUGUGCGCACAAUCUUUGAAAUGUUUAAGAAGGUGGCUAUUGAAAAAACUGGCUGCUGUUGGUUCAA
This is a long non-coding RNA of Micropterus dolomieu (smallmouth bass), 1225 nucleotides long. RefSeq lists it as uncharacterized. Lineage: Eukaryota; Metazoa; Chordata; Actinopteri; Centrarchiformes; Centrarchidae. The record is from RefSeq and is a predicted model, not a curated record. The transcript is spliced from 3 exons.